This is a long non-coding RNA of Pomacea canaliculata, 584 nucleotides long. RefSeq lists it as uncharacterized. The transcript has 3 exons. NCBI's taxonomy places the organism in Eukaryota, Metazoa, Mollusca, Gastropoda, Architaenioglossa, Ampullariidae. The record is from RefSeq and is a predicted model, not a curated record.
CUGUGUACUCCUUUCAUUCACUUUUUCGGAAAAGAAAAUAUAUAAAAACAUGGCGGCUACAUCAGUGAAGGCUCGCAGUGUGCAGCGAUCUGAAGAAAUAAAGAUAAAAACACAGUCCGGCCUCCUUUCCUGACCCCACGAGCUGUGAGUUUCUGAGAAACAGGAUACAGAGACCAGGGGCUGGGUGUGGGGAGGGACACGUCGUCUGGUAAACAGGUUCGGAGUUUACCCCGCGACUAAAAAUAGAUAUAUAUCAGGGUACAAGCAGCUGUCUAUCAGGUUGACAUCAUUGAGCACUGACUCGCAUCGUGUGUUCACCUGGCAAGCCGAGCUGACUGUCGAGGGGGAGACCUCGACCUCUGGCCUUCAUAUUAACACAUCCUCCCGACAGCAUUGCACGCCGUACAAAUGUCGGGUCAACCCUCUCCGCGCCAUGUUUCUUUUGCAAAGGAGCAUCAUUCCGAGAAGUUUAAUGAAGAAAAAGAAAAUAGUUCGUCUACUGGAUCCGGGAUCCUGAAGGAGAGCCAAUCAGGACUAGGACAAGAUGUUUUCAACCUCACCUGGGACAAACUCCACACAGGUAU